RNAcentral lists this ribosomal RNA (118 nucleotides) under Pteropus alecto (black flying fox). Lineage: Eukaryota; Metazoa; Chordata; Mammalia; Chiroptera; Pteropodidae. The record is from RNAcentral.
GCCUACAGCCAUGCCAUUCUGAACACACUCGAUCCCAUCUGAUCUCAGAAGCUAAGCAGAGUUAGGCCUGGUUAGUACUUAGAUGGGAGACCACCUAGGAAGAUAGGUGCUGUAGAUG